GCUGGCGGCAGGCCUAACACAUGCAAGUCGAACGCCCUAGCAAUAGGGAGUGGCAGACGGGUGAGUAACGCGUGGGAACGUACCCUUCGGUUCGGAAUAAGCCGGGGAAACCUGGUCUAAUACCGGAUACGUGCGAGAGCAGAAAGAUUUAUCGCCGAAGGAUCGGCCCGCGUCCGAUUAGCUAGUUGGUGAGGUAAUGGCUCACCAAGGCGACGAUCGGUAGCUGGUCUGAGAGGAUGAUCAGCCACACUGGGACUGWGACACGGCCCAGACUCCUACGGGAGGCAGCAGUGGGGAAUAUUGGACAAUGGGCGAAAGCCUGAUCCAGCCAUGCCGCGUGAGUGAUGAAGGCCCUAGGGUUGUAAAGCUCUUUCGCCAGGGACGAUAAUGACGGUACCUGGAUAAGAAGCCCCGGCUAACUUUGUGCCAGCAGCCGCGGUAAUACGAAGGGGGCUAGCGUUGUUCGGAUUUACUGGGCGUAAAGCGCACGUAGGCGGAUUUUUAAGUCAGGGGUGAAAUCCCAAGGCUCAACCUUGGAACUGCCUUUGAUACUGGARGUCUCGAGUCCGGGAGAGGUGAGUGGAACUGCGAGUGUAGAGGUGAAAUUCGUAGAUAUUCGCAAGAACACCAGUGGCGAA
RNAcentral lists this ribosomal RNA (638 nucleotides) under uncultured type II methanotroph T2-06. Its description in RNAcentral is "bacterial SSU rRNA". It matches the Rfam family "Bacterial small subunit ribosomal RNA", at positions 35 to 719 of the family's 1533-position model. The record is from RNAcentral. Lineage: Bacteria; Pseudomonadati; Pseudomonadota; Alphaproteobacteria; Hyphomicrobiales; Methylocystaceae.